AUGACGGGUUGGUUGCCCCUUAGGGACCCCCGUGCCGUUGUGUGUCAUGGCACAGCACACUGGCUCAUAUGUUAUGUCACAUGUCAAGACUGGCGGUUGCAUUCCAUUGAGGUGGAUGCUAAGACAUGCCGUGUCUCCUUGACUAAGAUUGCGAUCCCGGCCAAACACAAGACAACUGAACAUUAUGAUGAGCCACAACUUAUUGUCCAUGCUAGCGAGAAACUAUCGUUACUCUACCUGGAUAGGCAAGAUUUCAAGCUACAGAUGUGGACACGGCAAGAGGAUGGUAGUCCUACAAUGUGGCUCUCCACUAUGGUUGUCGAGCUAAAACCACCUAGGCGAACUAUGAUGGACUUAAGUAUUUUGGGAGAAAAGGGUGGCAUGUUACUCAUCAAGGACAACCACACGAACUUGUACGCUGCCGAUUUUGAAACUGGGGCGAUGGUGAAGUUGACGCACUUUGACAAUAUUAACCGUCGGAAAGUUGUGCCCCUUGAGAUGGAUUGGCUAACAUUCUUCGUCUCUCGUCUCGGUGCCCGUGGACUUCGUUUGAAGAAACCAUCCUCGUAA
This 570-nucleotide ribosomal RNA is filed under the name Triticum aestivum (bread wheat). RNAcentral's name for it is "partial small subunit ribosomal RNA". The record is from RNAcentral. Lineage: Eukaryota; Viridiplantae; Streptophyta; Magnoliopsida; Poales; Poaceae.